This 494-nucleotide ribosomal RNA is filed under the name uncultured bacterium. RNAcentral describes it as "bacterial SSU rRNA". It matches the Rfam family "Bacterial small subunit ribosomal RNA", at positions 899 to 1397 of the family's 1533-position model. The record is from RNAcentral.
ACUCAAAGGAAUUGACGGGGGCCCGCACAAGCGGUGGAGCAUGUGGUUUAAUUCGAUGCAACGCGAAGAACCUUACCAAGGCUUGACAUGGAACUGACAGCCCAAGAGAUUGGGUCUUCUUCGGACAGUUCACACAGGUGGUGCAUGGUUGUCGUCAGCUCGUGUCGUGAGAUGUUGGGUUAAGUCCCGCAACGAGCGCAACCCCUACGUUCAGUAGCUACCAUUAAGUUGAGGACUUUGAACGGACUGCCGCCGUAAGGCGGAGGAAGGUGGGGAUGAGGUCAAAUCAUCAUGCCCUUUAUGCCUUGGGCUACACACGUGCUACAAUGGACGCUACAAAGCGAAGCGAGCCGGUGACGGGGAGCAAACCGCAAAAAAGCGUCCACAGUUCGGAUUGCAGGCUGCAAUUCGCCUGCAUGAAGCUGGAAUCGCUAGUAAUCGCGGAUCAGAAUGCCGCGGUGAAUACGUUCCCGGGCCUUGUACACACCGCCCGU